Molecule: long non-coding RNA, 813 nt
Filed under: Mytilus galloprovincialis (Mediterranean mussel)
Lineage: Eukaryota; Metazoa; Mollusca; Bivalvia; Mytilida; Mytilidae
Source: RNAcentral
UUUCCUGCAGACCGCCCAAGGGAUCAUAUAGAAAGCCCUAUAGUAUAAACAUGAAAAACAAUCAACAGGGGUCUUAUAGAACGCCAUUUAGUACAUAUAUAAUGUAAAGACAACAGGGUAUCCUGUAGACCGCCCAAGGGAUCCUGUAGAACGCCCUUUAGUAUAUACAUGAUUAACAAACAAUAGGGGAUCCUAUAGAACGUCUUAUAGUAGAUAUAUUAUGUUGAGAAAACAGGGGAUCCUGUAGACCGCCCAGGGGAUCCUGUAGAACGCCCUAUAGUAUAUAAAUGAAAAACAAACAACAGGGGAUACUUUAGAACGUCUUAUAGUAGAUAUAUAUUUUUAAACAAAUGGGGAUCCUGUAGACCGCCCAGUGGAUCCUGUAGAAAGCCCUAUAAGUAUAAACAUAAAAAACAAUCAACAGGGCAUCCUGUAGACCGCCCAGGGGAUCCGGUAGAACGCCCUUUAGUAUAUAAAUAAUAAACAAACAAUAUAGGGAUCCUAUAGAACGUCCUAUAGUAGAUAUAUAAUGUAAAGACAACAGGGGAUCCUGUAGACCGCCCAUGGUAUCCUGUAGAACGCCCUUUAGUAUAAACAUGAAAAACAAUCAACAGAACGUCCUAUAGUACAUAUAUUAUGUUGAAAAACAAAGAUUCCUGCAGACCGCCCAAAGUUUCCUGCAGACCGCCCAAGGGAUCAUAUAGAAAGCCCUAUAGUAUAAACAUGAAAAACAAUCAACAGGGGGUCUUAUAUAUAGAACGCCAUUUAGUACAUAUAUAAUGUAAAGACAACAGGGGAUCCUGAAGACCGCCC